UCUAGACGUAACUUUUUCUUGUUCUUUCACGACCGCCGUUCCUCUUGUCGAGCUAACCUCACCUUUCCCAGACCCCACCUACCCUCCCACCUCCCCCAAAUCGUGUGUGCGUGCGGUUGGGGUAGAAUCGGUGCGGCCGGCGGCGACCGACUGCAGCCGAAUUGAGGCGCGUGACAGCACACGCGUACCGGCGGCUAGCUACGAGGCGGUCCGGCUCGACCCAAGGCGGCGGCGGCGGAUGGGCGGCGGCCGGUGCCUCGGACGCGGUCGGCCACGGCGGUCGCCGGGCGUCUGGAGCCUCAAACACGGUCAGAAUCGAGCGCCCGAUGCGGUACUGUGGGGACAUGGCGCGGCGGCCGGCGGGACGGAAUCAUGCUGCGAUGACAUCGAGCAGGUGGCUUAUGGCAUGGUAGCGCGGGGCCACGUCUUGGGCGUGGUGGCCAGCGGGACGGAAGCACACGACCACCGCAUGGAGCAGACGGCCGACGGCACAGAGGUGUGUGGACACGGCGACGAUGCAGCGGUCGGCGACACGAACGCGUCGGACCAGCCCUCCAACACGGCGACAUGUUUCAGCUUCAUGCAGGCAACUCGCGAAAUCAUGGAAUCAAUCAGCGUCCUUGAUCGACAUGGCCAUUCCUUUCCCCCGCUCAAUUUUCCUGCCCAAUCCUGCCUUCUCACUGACGAGCAGGUUCUCUUCGUCGCUCAGGAGCGAGCACGUCUCGCUUCGGCAAGGUUAGGAAAAUUAGGCUCCACCAUUUGUGCUGUCCGUCACAAGAAUAACUAUCUGAAAUGAAAUUUGCUCCACUGGUGCUACCCAAUUUUGCAAGGAUUUGUGCCUGAACUGUUCUGUUUCAUGUGCCAAAGCAUUGUCAUAUGUCACUUGAAAUUUAGUUAUUUGUCAGUUUAUUCUUGAUUGUUUCUACAAUGACAACGAGAAGUAUUUGAUACUGGGAUUGCUGAACUGAUUUCUUCUAGUGUACUGAUACCAAAGGAAUGAAACCAAAUCGGCAAUUUGUAUGGUUGAAGAGGCCUGGGUUUUGUUAUCUCAAACAAAAAUUUCAGAUGCUGUAGUUGACAUUUCCUUUUUGAGCCACCAGCAAGCAUUUUAGUUUUCUUGCUUACUUUGUUACAUUGUGAAUCAGAAUUCUAUGCCGUGGAAGCAUUGUUAAGGACAACUUGUUGUUCUUGUUAUCCUCUUUAUUUUAAUUUUGUUUGCUCCAUAUUUCUGCAAGAUGGUAAAUUUGGGAAUAAGCUGAUGUUUCUGACCCGAGGACACAUUUAUGAUACAAGUUUAGAACAAUACUAGUGAGUUAUAGACGUAUCUGCCUGUCAAAUUAAAAUCUGCUGCUCCUGUAUUUAUGAUACAGUGCAUAUGAUCUUUUAUUUAUGGCAUAAACUAAUCUUGAGUUCAUUGCAUUGCGUGAUCUUUUGCCUUUUUUAGUGACUGCAGUUUUUGUUCUAUUACUAAGUCCUUAUAGGCUGCUCACCAUAUUCGGUAUUUUCUAUCAUGUGCCACUGAAAUUUACUCUUGACAUGAAUUGCUUUGUUGUUUUUAAUGAAUAUAUGUAGUUUCAAACACUACCAUUUGUUAUGGGCAUUCCAGUACAUCCUUGUGCCAGCUAACCUGCACUUUAAAUGGUUAUGAUAAGUUGAUCACUUCACUUGAACCUUCCUAAGAUAACCCAGUUGCUAGUGUAGAAACAGGUAAUUGGCCUUAUUAAUAUAUUGAAAUUGAACUUCGUUUUUUGCUGUUGUGGAACUGUGCAAGUGUCAACAACACUCUCUAAUAGAAAGUGAAAUUUAUGUACUGGAAAUGAUCAUUGAUGAUUUAUGAAUUUAACAUGUUUAUGGAGUUCUAAACAUGCAAAGCUAUAUCAUAAAUACAUUGAUCUGUUGCCCAGUAUAGAUUAUUUUUCUGACUGCAGCCCUGCCGGCGAGUAAGGUCAGCAUACUUCAUGUAAUGUAACAUCAGGCUAAAUCCCCAUAAUGUAAGAUCCAAUUAUCUGAGUACAGCAAGCUCCUAUCAAUUCAGUUUAUUCAGUACUAUUCGCCGUACGAAAUUGGCUUAGCAGAACAUGAUCAGGAGGGCACGUUAUUACUUUGGAGUUUGAUUAUUUCUACUUGGUGAAUGCUUAUGUUCCAAAUUUUGCUCAGUUUAUUUACUUCUUUGGUCUGUUAUGAAUUCAAAAUUGUAGGUUCAAUCAGGUGUUUUUGCAACAAGAAUAGUCAGUUGCAUUCUAUUGUUUAGCGUCUCUGUUUCCCUUAAUUAAUUCAUGUUCACUGCAAUGAUUUCAGGAUUAAUGAAUAUUGCUCACUGCUCAUUAGGCCUGCUUAGGCAGGUGCCAUGAGCAUAAUUAAGGUCCUUGAGGCUGCAUGCCGCCAACAACUAUAGAUGUUCUCUGAAGCAAGGCCUGGUCAGCACUGGCAAGGCCAUGCUCACCGAGGUCAACCUGGGCCUGGCAUGGCCUUUAUCGAAGCUCCACAAUCAUGCAUUGGCACUCUGUCAAGGGGCUGAGGAUGGUGUAUGGGGUCUUCCAGGCUGACCGUGACCAAAACGGCCACCAGCCACCAUUGCUGGAGCUUCUCACCGAGCUGGAUGGGUGUGACAGUGCAGCACCAAUGGCUCAGAUGGUUUGUUCUUUAUUUCCUUCUCUGAGCUUGAAACACCGACCAAUAUUACAUGAUUUUGUUGUCUGCGGAAGUAUUUAAUUUUGAUGCCACUGUUUGAGCUUAUACUCCUUGUUUUAGCAUGCUAAGCAAAAGGUCACGACAUGAUUAACGUGUUUCUUGAGUGGAUGUGUUCUAGAUGCUACGAAAAUCAUGGUUCCUUUGAAGUCCAUAGGUGAUAUAGAUGCUACCAAAAUUAUGGUUAAUAUCAAAACGACAGUUCAAGUGUGUCUCUGUUGGACGACACAGGAAUUAUGAAAUCAAACAAGUUGUGCAAUUCUUAUGUGGCAUUAUUGAGGGCGUAUAUUUGUAUGUGCCGGUUUUCCCACAAUUUUUUUGUGUUGCCGGCAUCUUUCUUUGUACCAAAAGUAUAUUUUGGUCUUUCUUAUGUGAAGAAUAUUUCCUGUUUUA
Brachypodium distachyon (stiff brome) is the source of this 3081-nucleotide RNA transcript. RefSeq lists it as uncharacterized. Lineage: Eukaryota; Viridiplantae; Streptophyta; Magnoliopsida; Poales; Poaceae. The transcript is spliced from 4 exons. The record is from RefSeq and is a predicted model, not a curated record.